Molecule: long non-coding RNA, 246 nt
Organism: Strongylocentrotus purpuratus (purple sea urchin)
Lineage: Eukaryota; Metazoa; Echinodermata; Echinoidea; Camarodonta; Strongylocentrotidae
Exons: 3
Source: RefSeq, a predicted model, not a curated record
CAACUACAACGCAAGACACCACAACGAUGUCUACGACGGAAUCCACCACCUCACAUCCUACCACAACUACUCAAUCAACUACUACACAAGACACAACAACGAUGUCUACGACGGAAUCCACCACCUCACAUCCUACCACAACUACUCAAUCAACUACUUCACAAGACACCACGAUGUCCGCGACGGAAUCCACCACCUCACGUCCUACCACUACUACUCGUAAGAAAACUUCAUUUACAUCACCUC